UCCUGGUUAACCCAGGCAGUCUCGCUAGAGUUCCCACCAUUACGUGUUGGCAACUAACGAUAAGGGUUGCGCUCGUUGCGGGACUUAACCCAACACCUCACGGCACGAGCUGACGACAGCCAUGCAGCACCUGUGCAGCGGUCCCGAAGGAAGACGCCAUUUCUGGCGCUGUCCGCUGCAUGUCAAGCCUGGGUAAGGUUCUUCGCGUUGCAUCGAAUUAAACCACAUGCUCCACUGCUUGUGCGGGUCCCCGUCAAUUCUUUUGAGUUUCAGCCUUGCGACUGUACUCCCCAGGCGGUAUACUUAACGCGUUAGCUCCGGCACAGUCAGGGUUGAUUCCGACUACACCAAGUAUACAUAGUUUACGGCAAGGACUAC
Molecule: unclassified non-coding RNA, 378 nt
Filed under: uncultured Parachlamydiaceae bacterium
Lineage: Bacteria; Pseudomonadati; Chlamydiota; Chlamydiia; Parachlamydiales; Parachlamydiaceae
Description: contains 16S-23S intergenic spacer region
Source: RNAcentral